UAUGAACGCUGGCGGCGUGCCUAAUACAUGCAAGUCGAGCGAACGGACGAGAAGCUUGCUUCUCUGAUGUUAGCGGCGGACGGGUGAGUAACACGUGGAUAACCUACCUAUAAGACUGGGAUAAAUUCGGGAAACCGGAGCUAAUACCGGAUAAUAUUUUGAACCGCAUGGUUCAAAAGUGAAAGACGGUCUUGCUGUCACUUAUAGAUGGAUCCGCGCUGCAUUAGCUAGUUGGUAAGGUAACGGCUUACCAAGGCAACGAUGCAUAGCCGACCUGAGAGGGUGAUCGGCCACACUGGAACUGAGGCACGGUCCAGACUCCUACGGGAGGCAGCAGUAGGGAAUCUUCCGCAAUGGGCGAAAGCCUGACGGAGCAACGCCGCGUGAGUGAUGAAGGUCUUCGGAUCGUAAAACUCUGUUAUUAGGGAAGAACAUAUGUGUAAGUAACUGUGCACAUCUUGACGGUACCUAAUCAGAAAGCCACGGCUAACUACGUG
This 497-nucleotide ribosomal RNA is filed under the name uncultured bacterium. RNAcentral describes it as "partial 16S ribosomal RNA". It matches the Rfam family "Bacterial small subunit ribosomal RNA", at positions 29 to 507 of the family's 1533-position model. The record is from RNAcentral.